ACACGGGCGCAUGCAUCAGAACCGCCGAACGGAUAAAGUUUUUUCUAUCCGCCCAAGGCAUCACAAUCGGUACAAUUCAAAACAUUCCAAACUGGAAUAGAAUUCAUACACAAAUUGUAUAAGGAAGGCAUCAUAAAUAUAAAUAACUACACUAUUAUAAGCAUUCAUCUCAUUCACUUUACAAUUACUUUCUUCCAAACACAAUCAAGUUUGCUACAUUUCUUUCACUAUUUUCAAACCCUUAAGCUGCAUCGAUCCAGGGUAUAUCUAUCUUUGGUUGCAUGGCAGAACGCUAACUAUAGCUACGUUCUUUCCUCGCGCCGCUCACAUGUGGACCUGCAAAAUAUGGGGGUGAGAACUAUAAACAUAGUUCCUAGUGGGUUCAGCCACCGACCUCGCCGAUUUUUCCAUUAGGUCUAAUCAAGCAUAAGUAGCUACAAAAACAGGUAGGUAAUAAUGUGACUAUACUAAGCAUAUAUAGAACUGAAAGCAAGUGCUACUAUACCUUACAACAGUAGGGAAUGAGUUCCAUGGUUCACUAUAAUAAAUAGUGUUCUUCUACUCACUCUUGGCCAACUCAUUCUCGACCAAAUUAGGGACUCCCACAAAUCCAGUCCAACUCACCCCACACAACCUCACGGGCCUAGGUCCAGGAAUAACAUGAUCGACCGUCACUCCACAUGACUUAUUCUUGACCCAAUCACGGGCUUCUCAUAAGACCAAAGCCAACUCACAUGAAUAUCAUGAUUGAUCCCACACACAAUAUGUGAUCUCACUAUGCUCAGCCUCUAUGCAGGAUGCAACAAUACAAUAUGGCAUAGGGUGCAAGACUAUCUCAACCCAAAGAAUAAUAUGCAACAAAUGCUAAUCACUAUGCCAUCUCAAUAACAACAUAUCAAGGUUCUACUAUGUAUGCAACAUAUAUGAAAUGCCCAUGACUAUGCCUUGAUCCAAAUCCAUCAGUUCGCUCAUAAGUCGAACCACGACUCGCCACAGUAUGUCACCACCGUGACCGUUUGCCCAGGGGCGCACCGUCGUGUCUCUCUCCCCCGUCUCUUCCUCAAUGUGAUACUCCGGAGCUCACGGCUUGGGAGUCGCGAUCUCCACAAGCCAAAACAGAUGACUAUGUGAGUAUGAUCACGUCCUCCCACCCGAGGACCUCAGGGAUCUCACCACAUCCUAAAUAGUAAUAAGGCAUGCAAUGCUCAAACAAUAAUAGAAUACACAAAUUCAUGCUAUAAGUGCAAUGACCCAAUCUCUUGGUACUUAGUAUCCAAUCAACUUAUGCCAAUAACCACAGUGACAACUCAACAUCGAGGGAUCUCUUUCAACCCCUAGCAUGGUCUAGAGGAUAUCUUUCAAUCCCUCGCAUGCUCAAGAAUCUCAAAACACUAGUUGUCACGCCACGAAUGCACCGGCCCAAUCUUUUCCACAUAUACUCAAGAGUUUUCUCAACUCAUGUUGCGUGCAUCAAUAGGAUAUACAAACAUCACAACAUGUGAAUACAAACAACUAUGCAAUGCUUCAUGGACUAUCGCCACACAUGCAUGAAAUGACCCAAUUUCACAUUUUACACUUGGGUUCUCUCAAUUUACGCCAUAUCACUCUCAUGUAUAUCACAUUAUACCCAAAUCAUGGUUUCAUUACUAGAUUCACAUGCAAUCAUCACAAUGACGUCUAGUAUAUCUCACUUGUUUCAAUGUCCAUCACUUGUUUUCUAUGUUCAAUCCACUAGUUUUCUCUACUAGUUCAUCAAUACAUCAUUAGGGUUCAUAUAUUACUAUGUUCAUGCAUCCUAGGUUCCAAGUCCUCAAUCAUAAUCAUUUCAUAUAUCAUAAGAGGCAUACUAGUUUUUGGAAUGAGGAUUAAUUGAACCCUAUCACACAUAAUCAAUACACAUAUAUACUCAACAAGGAGAAUUAGACACAGGGAGAAAUCCAACCAUUUCGGGAAGCACCACCCACCUUACAACACCUCUGAUUGCUUGUAGACAUUUGCAAUCGGGCUCCCGCGGUUAAUCGCUCCCUUUCGAGCUCGCAUGGCUAACAUCGCUCGGUUUAGUUCGUUACUCGAAACAAUCACCAAUGUUCGUCGGUUUCCAAAUCAAGUCAUCUGGGGUACUUCUCUAGCCUUCAAUUAGAGAAUUAGAGAAUCAAUUUGGUUCAAAACCUCAAAACCCCAAAAUCCCCAAUUCUAACCCUAGAUUCCAAUUUCUCCACAAUUAUCUCAAAAUCCAUGGAAAAACUUUGAUUAAAUAAGUAUGGAAUCAUCUAGGGGACUAGAAAUCUCAAUUUCAAGGGAUUUAAUCCAAACCCUAAUCUCUUAACCCAAAAAUGAACCUCGAGUCUCUGCCACCAAGCCCCCGAAAACUCGAUUCUCUACUCCCCCGAGCAUCCCGAGCUCGAUCUCCACCAAAAUCCUAAGUUUGGGAGGAAUCUAGAGAGAGGAAGAGGAGAGAAAGAGAAGGGUUCUCCUUCUUCUUCUCUUGUGUGUGAGGAGGAAAAUAAGAGAGGAGUUGGGAGGCUUAUUUAUAAAAGGGAGAAGCUACAAUUCCCAAAACCCCUAAUCUUGACACUUUUCGAGCAGAAAGUCCGGACCUUGGCUCCAGGGUCCGGAACCUAUAGGCUAUUUUUCACGCUGCGCAAUCAGGGUCCGGAGCUUGGGUUCAAGGUCCGGAAUCCGAAAGUCCUCAGCUAAAAAAUGCUAUUUCCAAAAAAAUCUCAUUUUUUGUCCUUGAGCCUCUAAUUCACCUCUAAUCAUCCCAAAACCUUCAAAUCUCAUUUUUGAGCAUGUUUAAAUUACUUCUCUAUUGUACUUUUGCCCAAUCGACCCAACUUGGCAUAGUGCUUCGAAACUCGGUACACUACACCCUCACAAGCCAAAAAAAGUAUGGGCAGCAUGAGGAGAGGUGCUCUAAAUAUGGGCAAUUGGGUUACAUGCGGUUUGAAUGCCCACAAGGUGAUAGCCGGACCUAGUUGGGUACCUCCACAGUCUCUACCCUGAGACAAAUCGAGAGUGUAGCACAUUGAACUUUAACAAAUUGCAAGGUUCCAGUGUUAGAAUAGUAUUUUGCGCUAUUCUUGGUAUUUUUGAAGGUCGUUGACUGAGUGCCGACCUAUUGCUCAUAUUUCGAGAAUGCGAGAAGGAGUACUUAGCACCAAAAUCUGUAAAUUCAGGUUUUCGGGUGUCGAGUACCGGUACCUGGGUGAGGUACCGGAACACCAUUGCGUGACCGAGAAAGCUGCUCUCUGGUUUGGGCUGAGAGGAAUUGAGUACCGGUACUGAGUUAUCAAGUACCGGUACUCGGGUCAGGUACCGGUACUGCAUCAAGUGGGUACCGGUACGUCGUAAACAUAUCGCUUGACCGAGGCUCGGGUUUGGCGGGACUGGUUGUCGGGUAACGGUACUCCCCUUCGAGUACCGGUACGGAGUGCAGAAACUGCAUUUCGUGCAGUUUGUUAUUUUUGGAGAUUUGAGAGGCUUUGAGGGAAUUGUUACAACUUGUAUAAGAUGUCCCCUUCCUCCCCCACAGGCCUCUUUGUGCUAAGCUUAAAGAGAAGCCAAAGUAGGGUUUUCUCUCUUUCUCUCUCUAGAUUUCUCUCCCAAACCUCUUUUGAUUUGGGAUUUUAUCUUUUUUUCUCCUUCCUUUCCAUAGUGGCUUGCUUGGUGAACCCUAGAGGAAGCUUAGAAGUGAAGAAAAGAACUUUGUUGAGGAUCAAACUCUAACCCUAGCUCAAGUUAGCUUGAUUUGGAGCUUUCCUUGAGAGUUUAUUUUGGGGUUUAUUUUGGGUUACUUAUCUUGCAACAUCUAUUUGUGAAUUUUGCAAAAUUUGUAGAUGAAAAUCUAGUUUUGGAAGAACCAGGGUUUAUUUUGGGGUUUCUUGUUAAAGGCUUUUGGAACCUAAUUGAUGAGUGUAGAACUCUCCUUUAGGUUGGAAUUAAAGCUCUAUUGGGUUGAUUUGAGCCUUGGACAAGUUUUACUUGGUCAAAAGUAAUUUUUACCUCUUUUCCUUGUGAUUUUUGAUGAUUUGUAUGAUGUUCGUUCGAAGCUGGUAACCCUCUUAGAAAUUCUCUUAGGGUACUAGAGGCUUGGUGGACAACUUCGUUCAAAGGAAUGAAAGGGUGUCACGGCCCGCCCCGAAACCACUACCGAUUUGGCACGGUUCGGCCGCGGCGGCGGAGCGCCGAACGGACAGCACCUCCCCUGUCCGCCCAAGGCUCAACAACAGGAAUGUGUACAAGAAUUUACCCAGGAAAUUAAAUUCUAAAUAUACACAUUCACAAGGGCACGAACAGUGCCAACAACACAAAGAGCAAGCAAUCCACAAGAUAAAGUAUGUGAAAUAAAGAGAGUACUUUACUAACUAUUACAAUAGUUCCAUCAUUUUCAUUUACAUCAUUUUGCAUCCUAAAUACAUAGCUCUCCAAGUCCUCACCUACAAUGAAUCUCUCUCAAUACAUAGGUGCACUAAUGCAAAAAGGAAAGCUACUAUACUACCACGGUCUCACUGAUCGGGCGCGAUGCCCUUGCCGCGGUCCUCUCUCAGCAACCCUGAACCUACCACUGGAAAUAGUGUGGGGUGAGAACUAUCUUCCAUAGUUCCCAGUGGGCUCGGCCGCCGACUCUGCCGAUCUCCCCACUAGGUCCAAGUGGGCACAAGUAACAACAGAUAGAUAGAUAGAUAUGUAUCUGAAAACUGUAAAUGCAAUAGUAGG
This 4716-nucleotide long non-coding RNA is filed under the name Ananas comosus (pineapple). Its description in RNAcentral is "long non-coding RNA (ACOM_LNC003265)". Lineage: Eukaryota; Viridiplantae; Streptophyta; Magnoliopsida; Poales; Bromeliaceae. The record is from RNAcentral.